AUAGAACAGUACUCUGGAGAUGAUAAAGCAUGUUCUGAGAAAUCAAGAACCACUGAGAGAUGCACUGGUCAUACAAACAACUUUGUGUCACCAUGCCAAACGUCACCAUGCCAACAACAGCUGAGCUGGAUAAACUGAACAAGUUGGAAACAGUGCUGGAGCCCUGCAGGUUACAAGAAGACUACAGCAGUUUCAGCACCAAUGACCAUGCAUGGUUGAUAAUCCCGUCCUCGAGCCUGUGUGUUUGAACAUCUAAAGAGCAACUACAGGCCUUUACAUCUAAGGGGAAUAGAGUGAUACUUGGCCUACAGAAGCUUUGCUAGCUGGUGUUGGAUCUUUCCGAGUGGCCUGCCUGGUGAUACGGACAAAGUCCCCCUGACGAUCAAGGAAGGUACGUUCAGUCUUUGAAUGAACAUGUAGGUCUGGCUAUCCUUUCCUGCAUCUCUGGACUUUGAAAAUGGGCAGAAGGAUCCUCUGGGAUGGGGAUUUUUAGCACCUCAUCCACAUAU
Long non-coding RNA from Perca flavescens (yellow perch), 509 nucleotides. RefSeq lists it as uncharacterized. NCBI's taxonomy places the organism in Eukaryota, Metazoa, Chordata, Actinopteri, Perciformes, Percidae. The record is from RefSeq and is a predicted model, not a curated record. The transcript has 3 exons.